GGCACCCUACACUUCUACCCACAUUCCUUUGACCAAAGGACAUCACACAGCCAGCUCAAAGACAAGGGGUGGCAAUAAAAACUCUGCCUUUACGAAGGAUCUCCAAAGUCACAUGACAAAAGAUGACUUCUUCUGGAAGAAAUGUUAUCUUCUUCUAAUAAACUUGCCAUUAUCUUCGGAGACAAAUUUCAGGAAAGAAAUAAAGAGUAUUGCAAUUACUGUCUUCCAGCUUACCCAUGACUCAGACAGAGAACAAUCAAUUCCUUAAAAAAGAAGCAAGAUUUGUGGGCCGCAAAAGAAGAUUUCUGGAAAAUAGGGCAUUUAGCCUUGUCAAGGAGAGAACAGGCUUGUUCUCAUCCCCAUGCAUGGGCUCCAUCCAGACCAUCUUGGGCCCUCUGAGCAAGCUCUGGGCUAGGAAUGAAGUCUAGCUGACAACAAUGGGUCAUGUUCAAUUACUCAGAUCUUUAGCCAGUGCCAAGGAAUUCGUGUAGCUGCUGACCUCAGGCUAUCUCCCUUUCCAC
This is a long non-coding RNA of Aethalodelphis obliquidens (Pacific white-sided dolphin), 521 nucleotides long. RefSeq lists it as uncharacterized. NCBI's taxonomy places the organism in Eukaryota, Metazoa, Chordata, Mammalia, Artiodactyla, Delphinidae. The transcript is spliced from 4 exons. The record is from RefSeq and is a predicted model, not a curated record.